This 245-nucleotide ribosomal RNA is filed under the name uncultured Falsiporphyromonas sp. RNAcentral describes it as "partial 16S ribosomal RNA". It matches the Rfam family "Bacterial small subunit ribosomal RNA", at positions 524 to 768 of the family's 1533-position model. The record is from RNAcentral. Lineage: Bacteria; Pseudomonadati; Bacteroidota; Bacteroidia; Bacteroidales; Porphyromonadaceae.
UACGGAGGAUGCAAGCGUUAUCCGGAUUUAUUGGGUUUAAAGGGUGCGUAGGCGGCCUGAUAAGCGUGAGGUGAAAUCCCGGAGCUCAACCCCGGAAUUGCCUCGCGAACUGUCGGGCUCGAAUGCUCCUGCCGUGGGAGGAAUGUGUGGUGUAGCGGUGAAAUGCAUAGAGAUCACACAGAACACCGAUUGCGAAGGCAUCUCACGAAGGGGCGAUUGACGCUGAGGCACGAAAGCGUGGGGAU